This 687-nucleotide ribosomal RNA is filed under the name Debaryomyces hansenii. RNAcentral's name for it is "partial large subunit ribosomal RNA". The stretch from base 1 to 584 matches the Rfam family "Eukaryotic large subunit ribosomal RNA", at positions 65 to 664 of the family's 3401-position model. The record is from RNAcentral. Lineage: Eukaryota; Fungi; Ascomycota; Pichiomycetes; Serinales; Debaryomycetaceae.
CCUCGGGGGAAUUGCCUUAGUACGGCGAGUGAAGCGGCAAAAGCUCAAAUUUGAAAUCUGGCACCUUCGGUGUCCGAGUUGUAAUUUGAAGAAGGUAACUUUGGAGUUGGCUCUUGUCUAUGUUCCUUGGAACAGGACGUCACAGAGGGUGAGAAUCCCGUGCGAUGAGAUGCCCAAUUCUAUGUAAAGUGCUUUCGAAGAGUCGAGUUGUUUGGGAAUGCAGCUCUAAGUGGGUGGUAAAUUCCAUCUAAAGCUAAAUAUUGGCGAGAGACCGAUAGCGAACAAGUACAGUGAUGGAAAGAUGAAAAGAACUUUGAAAAGAGAGUGAAAAAGUACGUGAAAUUGUUGAAAGGGAAGGGCUUGAGAUCAGACUUGGUAUUUUGCGAUCCUUUCCUUCUUGGUUGGGUUCCUCGCAGCUUACUGGGCCAGCAUCGGUUUGGAUGGUAGGAUAAUGACUAAGGAAUGUGGCUCUACUUCGGUGGAGUGUUAUAGCCUUGGUUGAUACUGCCUGUCUAGACCGAGGACUGCGUCUUUUGACUAGGAUGUUGGCAUAAUGAUCUUAAGCCACCCGUCUUAAAAAGGGGGACCAAAAAAAAAAUAUAAAAAAAAAAAAAAAAAAAAAAACAGAAGAAGGGAGAGGGUUUGGUGCCUGAUGAGCCUCACAGCGCCAUGGAGAGCAGUCAGGGG